RNAcentral lists this ribosomal RNA (253 nucleotides) under uncultured bacterium. RNAcentral's name for it is "partial 16S ribosomal RNA". It matches the Rfam family "Bacterial small subunit ribosomal RNA", at positions 524 to 776 of the family's 1533-position model. The record is from RNAcentral.
UACGGAGGGCGCAAGCGUUAUCCGGAUUCACUGGGUUUAAAGGGUGCGUAGGUGGGCAGGUAAGUCAGUGGUGAAAUCUCCGAGCUUAACUCGGAAACUGCCGUUGAUACUAUUUGUCUUGAAUAUUGUGGAGGUAAGCGGAAUAUGUCAUGUAGCGGUGAAAUGCUUAGAUAUGACAUAGAACACCAAUUGCGAAGGCAGCUUACUACACAACGAUUGACGCUGAGGCACGAAAGCGUGGGGAUCAAACAGG